Molecule: long non-coding RNA, 234 nt
Filed under: Sinocyclocheilus anshuiensis
Lineage: Eukaryota; Metazoa; Chordata; Actinopteri; Cypriniformes; Cyprinidae
Description: lncRNA (ENSSANG00000012854.1)
Source: RNAcentral
UUCCGGUCUGUUUCUGCACCAUUGUUUUCGCUGACAGAAUGAAAACACAAGGCCCAAACAGAUGCAGAAGAAUACGCAUCACACGUGGUUCCUGUUGACAUUAAAUCAAGCAGAGGGCUGGGAACAGAGGAAGCGGACUAAUUAAUGGAUCGAUUGCUUAUCAGCACAGUAAAUCAGUGAAACUUGUAUUCAGCUUUCCCUCUUAACAAGUAAUUCACAGCACAGUUAAUAGAG